GCCAUUGUAGCUCAGUGGUAGAGCACCUGCUUUGCAUGCUAAAGGUCCCAGGUUCAAUCCCUGGUGUCUCCAGGUA
Non-coding RNA from Podarcis lilfordi (Lilford's wall lizard), 76 nucleotides. The record is from the annotation of a GenBank genome assembly. Lineage: Eukaryota; Metazoa; Chordata; Lepidosauria; Squamata; Lacertidae.